UUUUUGGGGGGGGUUCCCAGUUUCUAUAGCGAGGGGAGUGGAUGUCUUAAACACCAUGUGAUUGGUGGCUUGUGCCUUCUAACACAGGAAUUUAAUCAAGGUCUUAAGAUAUCUGCCAAGCUUGGCUGUUGGUUUGUUAUGUUCCCAUGGAGUUGUGAGCUGCGGAAGAAGGAGGACGGGAGGAAAGGCAUGUGGGCCCUGAGUUUCAGGAAUGUUUUUCUUUGUCUUUUUUGGGGAGUAUGCUUCCACUCUUGUUUGAAGCCUGAGCAGUGGCUCAUGGUUUUAAAUGACCAACGAUAUAUUAAUACAUCUUUAUACGAUUAACUAUAGUCCCAUUCCAGCCCCAAACCCAGCUAUAUGUUACUAAAUCUCUGUGCCUUGUACCCUGUGCAGUUCACUUAUGUGUUUACACACAAGAGCACAGCAUGUACCUGCUCACCACACCAACCGUUGGGUCUGAAUUAAACUCAACCACAACUUUGGCCUAAACUUGAUUUCAUAAAGCUCAGUGCAAUGCUUUCCUUUUGGCACUAGGUUUUAUGUGGAAAAGAUGUAAGCAUGUGAAACCUAUUUGCAUUGCCAUAAGUGCCAAAGUUGGGGACGAAGCUGUGGUUAAGUUGUCUGUUUCCAAGCUGUGGAAUUGUGUAGAGUUCUGUGCUGAUGUACAUAACAGCUUUCACCCUGCCUUUAUCUUUUCAGGAUAGAGCUCACACCUGACUUUACCUCUCUAUAAGCAACAUCGACAAGCACACUGAGUUAGGAAGGAUUAUGGUGCAGCUGAGUAGGCGAUGAAGAAACGGAAUGACUCUACACCCACACCUUUCUAUUCUUUACUUUGUUUUGUGAAAAGUGAUCACUGAAGAAGAACCUUUGAAACCUCUGCUGAGAAGAGCGAUCUCUUCUGUUGAUUGUCCGGCAACUUUGCUGUUGAUAUGGAAAAUAUAUGUUGCUUUUUGUCCUCUCCCCUUUUCUUUCCUUCUUUCUUACUUUUGAAGGAUGUGAAUUAAAGGCUAUUGCUCAACUCUGCCUGUGAAUAGCUGCAUUACACCAAACACACAAGUGCCUAUGUGAAUCGUUAGUCCCCGCCCCCUUCGCUUUCUAUCUGCUGUCUUAUUGGUGGCGUCUAUCCUUUUGAUUAGAGCAGGAAUGAUUCAUUCUGGAUUCUGAGACUCUGAUAGUUGCAAAGGAACGUUUGAAGAUAAUACAUCCAUGCUUAUUACAGAGUAUGACGUGUGGGGUGUGCAAAAAAAGUUCCCGAAAAAAGUAAGGUUGGGAACCACUGGUUUAGAAGAAAUGGAUGACCAUUGCAAUACCAAUACAGUAAGGACGUGUUUAAAUAGCUAUUAUGGGUGAAGGGGUAGGGAAGGGUUGUGUAGUUUUUCAUUGUUUUCAAAUAUGAAACUGUGAUUUAAAGCCAAGACAAGUGAUUUGCAUGCAAAGGCCCCCUCUACCCAAGUCUUGGUCUGUGUGGCCACUGUCCAUUGUGAGCCAGUCUCAGACACUUUAAGUAAUGUAACAAAUGCCAAUCAAUAACAUCCGAAUAGCCUAAUGAUGUCAUUCUGAAUGCUGAGAAAACCAUAUAUCUCACUCCUGUCCUGACUCUGACGAUCAUUGGGGCUUUUGUCACUUUAUAUGUAACCAAUGCACACUGACAAUGAAUGGGCUUCUUUUCAUAUGGGACUGGAGCUCGGUAGUUAGAAUGGCUAAAGUGGAAUAUGUGUAAGACAACCCGUAGUGAUUUUUGUAGAGAGAUUGAAAUGUUUUGUUUAAACAUGACGUUUUUGGGCUUUUGUAAACUCUUGACUAGUAAAAGCCAGUUUGUCUAAAACCAA
Molecule: long non-coding RNA, 1832 nt
Organism: Oncorhynchus nerka (sockeye salmon)
Lineage: Eukaryota; Metazoa; Chordata; Actinopteri; Salmoniformes; Salmonidae
Exons: 2
Source: RefSeq, a predicted model, not a curated record